AAGAAGUCAGCCACUCCCUUCCAAGUUGCAAUCUGAAGCUCCACACCACGAGUUACUUCAUCAAUUGGCUUGGCAGUUGAAUUCACCAUCUUCAUACUGCCUACUUCUUUUGAGACCCAACGCCCAAGUCUUUUUGCUUCCUGCACUGACACAAAGUUGUGCGAGGCACCCGUAUCCACCAAACAACGGGUUGUCUUGCCAUCCACCAUGGCAUCGACGAACAUCACUCCCUUAGCUUGAACCUGUGGUUGAGUCUUUGACCUAUAAGGCAUUGAAGCGAUGAAUGGCCCCCAUUCCUGCUUCCCUGUUGGUCUCCUCUUCCUUUUCUUGGUUCAUAGCAUUCAAGGCCUUCGUUCGCGGACAAUCCCUCAUCAUGUGCGGUCCAUUGCAUAAGUAACAAGCUAGCUUUGAUUUGUCCUUCCCCUUGUCACCUUUGUCAUUUUUCUUCACAAAUGACUUGUGACUGUCAGACUUGUCACCUUCUUUUGACUUGUUGUCUUCCC
Molecule: long non-coding RNA, 503 nt
Filed under: Prunus persica (peach)
Lineage: Eukaryota; Viridiplantae; Streptophyta; Magnoliopsida; Rosales; Rosaceae
Description: long non-coding RNA (PPER_LNC004859)
Source: RNAcentral